Molecule: ribosomal RNA, 498 nt
Filed under: uncultured bacterium
Lineage: Bacteria
Description: partial 16S ribosomal RNA
Rfam family: Bacterial small subunit ribosomal RNA
Source: RNAcentral
GAUGAACGCUGGCGGCGUGCCUAAUACAUGCAAGUCGAGCGAACAGACGAGGAACUUUCUUCUCUGACGUUAGCGGCGGACAGGUGAGUAACACGUGGAUAACCUACCUAUAAGACUGGGAUAACUUCGGGAAACCGGAGCUAAUACCGGAUAAUAUAUUGAACCGCAUGGUUCAAUAGUGAAAGACGGUUUUGCUGUUACUUAUAGAUUGAUCCGCGCCGCAUUAGUCAGUUGGUAAGGUAACGGCUUAGCAAAGCAACGAUGAGUAGCAGGCGUGAUAGGAGGGAGGGCGGCCACGCGGGUAAUGAAAGGCCGACAAGACUCCGGGAGGCAGCAGCAGUGGAAAUCUUGCACAAGGGGCGAAAGGCAGGGGGAGAAACCGCGUGAGAGAGGAGGGGGUUUUCGGUGUGUAAAACUCUUUUACUAGGGGAAAAGUAAUGUUGAAAUUAGUUAGAAGGUUUUGACGGUACCGAAUCAGAAGGCAACGGCUAACUACGU